CAUAAUAACUUCUCGAAUCGGCAUGGCUUGUGCGGCGAUGCUUCAUUCAAAUAUCUGCCCUAUCACUUUCGAUGGUAGGAUAGAGGCUACAUGGUUUCAACGGGUAACGGGGAAUAAGGGUUCGAUUCCGGAGAGGGAGCCUGAGAAACGGCUACCACAUCCAAGGAAGGCAGCAGGCGCGCAAAUUACCCAAUCCCGACACGGGGAGGUAGUGACAAUAAAUAACAAUAUAGGGCUCAUUUGGGUCUUAUAAUUGGAAUGAGUACAAUUUAAAUCCCUUAACGAGGAACAAUUGGAGGGCAAGUCUGGUGCCAGCAGCCGCGGUAAUUCCAGCUCCAAUAGCGUAUAUUAAAGUUGUUGCAGUUAAAAAGCUCGU
This 376-nucleotide ribosomal RNA is filed under the name uncultured fungus. RNAcentral's name for it is "SSU rRNA". It matches the Rfam family "Eukaryotic small subunit ribosomal RNA", at positions 252 to 631 of the family's 1831-position model. Lineage: Eukaryota; Fungi. The record is from RNAcentral.